AGAGAGAGAGAGAGAGAGGUCUUUUUGCUUGUUUGCAAAUAGGAGAGUGAGAGGAAAUGAGCCCUAAGCCACUCAUAUAACUCCCCUCAUCCAACAAUCACACAAAAACCCCCUCAACCAUGUAAACUGCACCAAACUGGGCCAUUUUCGGGCUCAGGAUUCGGACCUUGAAGCCAGGGUCUGGACCCCGUAGGUCUAGAAUUUCAGCACUUUUAGGACUUAGCCAAAUUUUCAGCAUUUUCAGCUUUCUUCUUCGUUUUCGCUCGUUUUCACUCGUUAGGCCUCCGAUUCAUUUCAAAUCGAACCGAGACUCUCAAAAAAUGUUUUCGAGCGCGUUUACAUCACCUUUUCAUCCCCGCUAAUGCUGGAUUUAGUCCAUGGUCCAACAAGCCGUUCGGGUCCCGUUUUCGCACCUACGCGCUCCGAAAACGCCCGAAUGCUUCCGAACCUCACCAGAAUCAUUUUAAUGACUUCCCAAUCAACAUACCUCAUAACUUCAUAACUUUAGAAGUUCGGUAUGUUACACAUUGAGGUUCUCAUUCCUUACAAUAUUAAUAGUACCAAGUACUUGGUGCUUUCAAGUUUUCUGCCGUUAGAUUUGCCCUUUUGAUCAUUUCCACCUGUUAGAUUAUACUAUUACAACAAUCAACCACUAAACCCUAGGGGACCACUAUAAUUUUAAUCAUACAUCCCUUCAUCCAAGGGCCAAAAACCUAAUAACACUAAGCAUUUAGUACUAUUAAUAGUAUAGUAGCCUAAUUCUACACAUACACACAUAUGUUGGAUUUUAUUGGAUUUUUUUGAUUUAAAACUUGUUAGGCUUCUUGGGCAGCCCAAUAAUUAAUGGGCCUUACUUGGGAGCCCAACUAAAGUUUCCAUAUGUGAGGUUUAGUCCCACAUUGGAAACUAAAAGGGUGUUGUUGGUGUAUAUAUAUAUUCCUUUAUUCUCAAGCUAGUUGCUUGGGAGAAAAUGGAAGUUAUGAUCUCGUUUAAACACACGCACGGCACGAGUCAGGCGGUCCGAGUUGCGGCACGGGCGGUUCAUACACCCGGUUUAUUUUAUUUUAUUUUUAUUUUUUCGUUUUUAUCUAUAUCCUAAUCCUAUCCGUAUAAUCUUAGGCUUAUCUUGUUCUACACGGAUUUGACACGUUGAAGCAAGAUUCUCGCCUUGAUUAUAUAUAUUGAAGGAGGUUGCACGAGUUAAAGAAGAACCCGAGCAUACCUAAACCCUACCUCGCCUCUUCCUACUUUCUCAUCAUUGAUCUUUUCCGCCGAUUUUUGCCAAGUUUUCUUUGCUGGAUCUGAAACUUGUUGGGUUCGUCUUAUGCCACCUUGAAAGCGUGUCAACGAGGUGAAACGUGAUCAUUAUAUCGCUGAAGAAAGUAAUUGCUGGGAAGCCUAGCACAUGGAGGGGCAAUUUCACUUCUAGGACAGUGCUCUAUACGCCUCGACCCACAGGCCUUUUCUAAUCAUUUUCUUUAAAGUAUUUAUUUAUUAUUUAUUUUCUUCUUCAGAUCUUUUCUAAAACUAAAACUAAACUUUCGAAUUGUUUUAAAGAAUAUUUUAAUAAAAAAUCAGAAAGAUUUUCCAACAAUAUAUAUAGUAGGACUACUAUACUCUUAUGAGUGUAGAAGCAUUUGUACUCAUAAGUUGUUUUCGAUGAUGGAGUUUCUGAAUCGACAAUCCAUAUUAUUAAACAUGAUCUAUAGUAUUUGAAACUUUUAGAAAAUAAAUUUCGUAAUUUUUAAAUCAUAAUAAAGUCUAUCAAGUGGGUAUAAAAUGAACAGUCAAAAUCGAAUAAUGUCCUAAAAAUGGAUGAUCGGAUUUCUUAAUUGAAGAUCAGAGUUAUUGCUCUUUAUCCAGAUAGUGGAUAACCGAUUUCAAUUCUUUUACACCGUUAAACUAGCAAGUAUCCAAUACUGGCCGUUAAAAAUUGUCAAAUUUGUGACCUCUUGAUCGUAAAGUAAAUGAUGUCGAAAAAUUAUAAAAUUUGAUUUCUAGAAGUUUUAAAUGAUCUAGAUAAUGUUUAAGUAAACGAUAGGAUGUGGAUUAGAACAGCUCUAUCAUCGAAAACUACUUAUGAGUACGAAGGUGAUCGUACUCAUAAAAAGUAAUAGUAAUCCAGACUCUCUCUCCUCUGCUCUGAAUAUAUAUAUAAUAUAUAUAUUAUAUAUAUAAUUAAUAUAUAUAUAUACUAAUAAUAUAUAUAAUAUAUAUAUAUAAUAGUAGAUAUAUAUAUAUUAUAUAUAAAUAUAUAUAUGAUGCAGUGAGCACGUAUGCUAUCGGAAGCACGGAGCCUUCGUGCUCCAGCUCGUUUCGAUGUUGCGACUUUCCAUAAUCGUCGAUCGACUACCGUUAACUUGUAUCUAAGUAUUUGAGGUAACUAGAAAAUAAAUUUUAUUUAUUUUUGCGAUAUCAAUUUGCCUAUGUGAAGAGGGGCUCACAAAUCAACGGCUGAAAAGUAAAAUCUUAUAAAAUCGUGGAAAGAUAUGACAUUAAAAUUUUAAACAGAAGAUAUUGAUCUUAUUUUAUAUAGUAUAAGAAUUCUUAUCAAUAAUUCACGUGAUUUGUAAUUUCUACACCUAAACUUGCAAACGGCUCACUACGACCCUUUGAAAUUUGUUGAUUUUGAGCCCCUACGAUCAACUAGCAAUAUGCAUAUCCGAAAAUAAUAAAAUUUAUGUUUCUAGGUAUUUCAAAUACUCUAGAUCAAGUUUAAACGGAGCCGUAUCACCGAUUCGAAAGUCCCGCAACAUCGAAACACGAGCUGGAAGCAACGAAGGUCCGUGCUUCCGAUAAGCAUAGGUAGCCUCACUUAUAAUAUUAUAAAUAUAUAUGAGGUCCGGCUACUAUACUAUUAGAGUACGAUCGCUCUCGUACUCAUAACGUUGUUUUUCAGAUAUAGAGCUUCCGAAUCGGAACAAUCCCACACCGUUAAACAUCUAUCUUACAAAUUAUAAAACUUCUAGAAUCAAAUUGUUAUAAUUUUUCGACAUCAUUUACCUUACAGAUCAAGAGGUCACAAAUUUGAACAAUUUUUAACGGACCAGCCGAUAUGGGAUACUUUCUAGUUGAACGGUGUAAAAGAAUCGGAAUUUGUUCUGAUUUUUUGAUAGAAAAUUCAUAUUCCUAAGAUAGAGUAAAUGUCAAAAAUCCGAUCUUGAAAUUGAAGAUCCGAUCAUACUUUUUUUUAGGAUGUCGUUUCGAUUUUGACGUACAUUUAGCUGCCACUUGAUGGACUUUAAUUAUGAAUUUCAAAAAUUUACUGAAAUGUAUUUUCUAAAGUUUCAAAUAACCUCUAUGAUCAUAUUUAAGCGGAGUGACGUCGUUCGUGAAGCUCCAUAAUCGAAACACAACGUUAUGAGUACGAGGAUCCAUAUCAUAAUAGUAUAAAUACCAUGGCCAAUAUAAUAUAUUAUAUAAUAUAUAUAGAUAUAUAGGCGUUGAGGCUAGAUAGUCUAUCGAAUAGUAAACGAGCUCGCGUUCCACGCGCUUUGUUUCUCGAAUGAUAGAGCCUCCAAAUUGACCGAUCGGCCACCGUUGAACAUGAUCUAUACUACUUAAAGUGUUAAAACAAAUUUUAAAUCUUUUCACAAUCAUAUUGUUUUAAUUAUCAAGAGGGUUCAAAAUUUGUAGUUUUAAUGGUCGAUAGAGGCGUUUUCUCGUUUAACGGGCGUAAGAUAUCCAAAUCAAAUUGAAUUUUUGUUAGAAAUUUUUUACCAUUUGUAAAGACAGUAUCUAUACUCUUUUGAUCUUGAUUACAAGACUCUUAAUCAUUGUAUUUUUAAAGAUAUUCAUUUUCAGGCCGUUCAUCACUUUUGUGUCUACUCGAUGGAUAAAGAGAACAAUAUCGAAAUAUAAUAAAUUUGAUUUCUUAAAAUACUUCAAGUGAUAUAGAAUCAUAGUCAACGUAACCGAAUUCGUCGAUUUUGGAAGGCUCAUCAAUCGAAUACAAUGGGUGGCAACGAGUCCGUUUGCUAUCGAUAGUAUUUUAGUCACUCUCUCUCCUCCCAUCUCUCUCUCUCGUCAUCCUCUCCUGUCUCUCUCUCGAGUUCUCUCUCUCUCUAGUUAUAUUAUAUAUAUAUAGUACGAGAGAGAGAGAGAGAGAGAGAGAGUUGAGCUAUGAUACUUUUACAAGUAUCACCAUCAUGGUGCUAUUAGGUUUUAAGCCAUUGGAUCUACUUUUUGAUUAUUAAUAGCCCUUGGAUUAAUCACUAUUCCACCUACCACCAUCAUCUCAACCUCACAUCUCUCCAUCCAAGGGCUAAAAGCACACAAAUAUCAUCCCCAUGAUACUUUUACAAGUAUUCUAGCCCUACUCUCUCUCUCUCUCUCUCUCUCUCUCUCU
RNAcentral lists this long non-coding RNA (4348 nucleotides) under Ananas comosus (pineapple). Its description in RNAcentral is "long non-coding RNA (ACOM_LNC001159)". The record is from RNAcentral. Lineage: Eukaryota; Viridiplantae; Streptophyta; Magnoliopsida; Poales; Bromeliaceae.